UACGAGGGGAGCAAGCGUUGUUCGGAUUUACUGGGCGUAAAGGGCGCGUAGGCGGUCGUGACAAGUCACUUGUGAAAUCUCCGGGCUUAACUCGGAACGGUCAAGUGAUACUGUCGGACUAGAGUACAGAAGGGGCAACUGGAAUUCUCGGUGUAGCGGUGAAAUGCGUAGAUAUCGAGAGGAACACCUGCGGCGAAGGCGGGUUGCUGGGCUGAUACUGACGCUGAUGCGUGAAAGCCAGGGGAGCGAACGGG
This 254-nucleotide ribosomal RNA is filed under the name uncultured bacterium. Its description in RNAcentral is "partial 16S ribosomal RNA". It matches the Rfam family "Bacterial small subunit ribosomal RNA", at positions 524 to 776 of the family's 1533-position model. The record is from RNAcentral.